This 302-nucleotide ribosomal RNA is filed under the name uncultured fungus. RNAcentral describes it as "SSU rRNA". It matches the Rfam family "Eukaryotic small subunit ribosomal RNA", at positions 1353 to 1680 of the family's 1831-position model. Lineage: Eukaryota; Fungi. The record is from RNAcentral.
AAAUAGUUGCAUGAACUCUGGUUGAUGACAGCUUCUUAGAGGGACUAUAGACGUUUAGUGUAUGGAAGUUUGAGGCAAUAACAGGUCUGUGAUGCCCUUAGAUGUUCUGGGCCGCACGCGCGCUACACUGACAACAGCAGCAAGUCGACCUUGGCCGGAAGGUCCGGGUAAUCUUGUGAAAUGUUGUCGUGCUGGGGAUAGUCCUUUGCAAUUCUUGGACUUUAACGAGGAAUUCCUAGUAAGCGCGAGUCAUCAGCUCGCGUUGAUUACGUCCCUGCCCUUUGUACACACCGCCCGUCGCU